AUUCCCGGCCGGGCGCGGUGGCUCACGCCUGUAAUCCCAGCACUUUGGGAGGCUGAGGCGGGCGGAGCACGAGGUCAGGAGAUCGAGACCAUCCUGGCUAACAUGGUGAAACCCCGUCUCUACUAAAAAUACAAAAAAUUAGCCGGGGGUGGUGGCGGGCGCCUGUAAUCCCAGCUACUCAGGAGGCCGAGGCGGGAGAAUGGCGUGAACCCGGGAGGCGGAGCUUGCAGUGAGCCGAGAUCGCGCCACUGCACUCCAGCCUGGGUGACAGAGCGAGACUCCCCGAAAGGAGAGAAGCUGUGGGGUGGGGCGGACACAAGCAGUGGUGGGGAACUGGGGCCCAGGGAAAGGGGAGGCAUGUGAGGAGGAACCCGAGUGCAGAUGAGGGGAGCUGCGGAGAGGGGCCUCGGACCUUCCUGUCGAGGAAGGCCCAGUCUUUGGUGGUCUCGGCAAAAUGAAGAAUGGGCCCCAAGUGGAGAGCAGCACGUCCCCAGAACUCAUUUCUAUCACCCCUGUUUGUUUUACACUCCACCAGGCAAAUCUUCCGUCCACAGGGUUCUUUUUAAUACUUCUCUUUAAGCAGUGUAGUGGGGAGGCCAUGGCAAUCAUUAGCUCUGGAGGCCUGAGGAGGACACUCUGAAGAGGAAAGCCCCGCGAUCAUCUGGUUUCACCCCUGUUUUCAUCUACUCUUUUCCUCAGCGAAGCCUAUAUGGGUUCCCGAUGUCACAUCGCAGCUACCGCAUUGGAGGGUUAAGAGCCGCUGACAAAUCUCUUUCGGGAAGGGAAGAAGAGUUCCAAACAAAAGAUCUACUACCCUGAGAAGCGGUGAAGUGCUCCUGGGGCCCACCAAGGCCACACAAGUCAAGGAGUGGAUGGCCUUGCCCCAGCUAUGGCUCAGAUCACCUUUGCAGGAUGACAUCUUGUUGGGAGAUGGUCAUCAGAGACAGGGCCAUGGAAGACGCUGUCAGGAGGAGGCACAGAGGAAAGGCUAUGGGAGCACAAAGCAAGAAAGUGGCCUUCUGCAAGCCAGGAAGAGAGGCCUCCCCAGAAACCAACUCUACCAGCACAUCGAUCUUGGACUUUUGGCCUCUAGAACAUUGAGAAAAUAAAAGUCUGCUGUUAAACCACCCAACCUUUGGUAUCUUUCUAUGGCAGCCUGAGCUGACUAACACCCUUGGACACAGGUGGAGGAACUGGUAAUCUUCUCAGGGCUUUGCCUGAAAUGGUGUUGUGAAAUGUUCCAGCAAAGCCCAUUUAGGAGAGCCUAUAUGGACAAGGAUUCUUGCUGCACUUUGUGUGGGUAAUCAGGCCAAGUAUGUGGGACUGAAGCUUCUUUUGCAGGUAGGUUGGUCCUGCUGUGUUUUGUCUUUAGUGGAAAUGGGGAACUGGAGAGAGGAAGAUUGUGUUUCAGGAGAAACUACAGUAUUAGAUGAAUGUUUGAUUCCUGGGUGGCCAUGCGGUCACCCAUGGUGUGGAGCUGCUCAGGAUGCCCCUUCUCCUCAUGACAAAGCCAGAAAGAUGCAUGACCAGAUUCCCCAUGAUUGAGGAACUGACAAAUAGAAAGUGGGGACUGAAAUCGACC
Molecule: long non-coding RNA, 1582 nt
Organism: Pan troglodytes (chimpanzee)
Lineage: Eukaryota; Metazoa; Chordata; Mammalia; Primates; Hominidae
Exons: 4
Source: RefSeq, a predicted model, not a curated record